This 208-nucleotide long non-coding RNA is filed under the name Lathyrus oleraceus (garden pea). RNAcentral's name for it is "Pisum sativum (pea) long non-coding RNA (PSAT_LNC018060)". Lineage: Eukaryota; Viridiplantae; Streptophyta; Magnoliopsida; Fabales; Fabaceae. The record is from RNAcentral.
GAUAAUGCUUGAAUUCUUGAUGAUAAUAUAGAAAUUGUUGAUGGCUAAGUUCCACCAUUUUAGAAUUUCAAUGUGAAAUUAUAAAUGGUGAUGGAAAUGAACUUUAGUGAGGAUGAGAGAGAAGAUGAAUAUUGAGAGAGAAUAGAAGAAAAAUGGUGAAAAAUAAUGGUUAAUUGUGAAUUUUCUAAGUUAGGUUAGUGAUAUUAGC